AUUGAACGCUGGCGGCAGGCCUAACACAUGCAAGUCGAGCGGAUGAAGGGAGCUUGCUCUUGUCUUCAGCUGCGGACGGGUGAGUAAUGCCUAGGAAUCUACCUUGUAGUGGGGGAUAAGGUCCGUUCACGGGCGCUAAUAUCGCAUACGUCAUGAGGGUGAACGUGGGGGUUCUUUGGACCUCACGCUAUUUGCUGUGCCUAGGUCGGAUUAGCUAGUUGGUUUGGUAAAGGCUUACCAAGGCGACGAUCCGUAACUGGUCUGAGAGGAUGAUCAGUCACACUGGAACUGAGACACGGUCCAGACUCCUACGGGAGGCAGCAGUGGGGAAUAUUCGACAAUGGGCGAAAGCCUGAUCGAGCAAUGCCGCGUGAGUGAAGAAGGUCUUCGGAUUGUAAAGCACUUUAAGUUGGGAAGAAGGGCAGUGAGUUAAAACCUGGCUGUUUUGACGGUACCAACAGAAAAAGCAACGGCUAACUUCGUG
This 484-nucleotide ribosomal RNA is filed under the name uncultured bacterium. RNAcentral describes it as "partial 16S ribosomal RNA". It matches the Rfam family "Bacterial small subunit ribosomal RNA", at positions 30 to 507 of the family's 1533-position model. The record is from RNAcentral.